GACGAACGCUGGCGGCGUGCUUAACACAUGCCAGUCGAACGGAAAGGCCCUGCUUGCAGGGUACUCGAGUGGCGAACGGGUGAGUAACACGUGGGUGAUCUGCCCUGCACUUCGGGAUAAGCUUGGGAAACUGGGUCUAAUACCGGAUAGGACCGCACUUUAGUGUGUGUGGUGGAAAGUUUUUUCGGUGUAGGAUGAGCUCGCGGCCUAUCAGCUUGUUGGUGGGGUAAUGGCCUACCAAGGCGGCGACGGGUAGCCGGCCUGAGAGGGUGUACGGCCGCAUUGGGACUGAGAUACGGCCCAGACUCCUACGGGAGGCAGCAGUGGGGAAUAUUGCACAAUGGGCGCAAGCCUGAUGCAGCGACGCCGCGUGGGGGAUGAAGGCCUUCGGGUUGUAAACUCCUUUCGCUAGGGACGAAGCUUUUUGUGACGGUACCUAGAUAAGAAGCACCGGCUAACUACGUG
RNAcentral lists this ribosomal RNA (465 nucleotides) under uncultured bacterium. RNAcentral describes it as "partial 16S ribosomal RNA". It matches the Rfam family "Bacterial small subunit ribosomal RNA", at positions 28 to 507 of the family's 1533-position model. The record is from RNAcentral.